UACGUAGGGUCCAAGCGUUGUCCGGAUUUAUUGGGCGUAAAGGGCGCGUAGGUGGUGGCUUAAGCGUGCGGUGAAAGCUCGGGGCUCAACUCCGAGUCGGCCGUGCGAACUGGGCUCACUGGAGCAUAGUAGAGGCAGGUGGAAUUCCGGGUGUAGCGGUGGAAUGCGCAGAUAUCAGGAGGAACACCAAUAGCGAAGGCAGCUCGCUGGGACGUUACUGACACUGAGGCGCGAAAGCGUGGGGGAGCGAACAGG
Molecule: ribosomal RNA, 255 nt
Filed under: uncultured bacterium
Lineage: Bacteria
Description: partial 16S ribosomal RNA
Rfam family: Bacterial small subunit ribosomal RNA
Source: RNAcentral